RNAcentral lists this ribosomal RNA (253 nucleotides) under uncultured bacterium. RNAcentral's name for it is "partial 16S ribosomal RNA". It matches the Rfam family "Bacterial small subunit ribosomal RNA", at positions 524 to 776 of the family's 1533-position model. The record is from RNAcentral.
UACGGGGGGGGCAAGCGUUGUUCGGAAUUACUGGGCGUAAAGGGCUCGUAGGCGGCCAACUAAGUCGGACGUGAAAUUCCUCGGCUUAACCGGGGAACUGCAUCCGAUACUGGAGGGCUUGAGUUUGGGAGAGGGAUGCGGAAUUCCAGGUGUAGCGGUGAAAUGCGUAGAUAUCUGGAGGAACACCGGUGGCGAAGGCGGCAUCCUGGACCAACACUGACGCUGAGGAGCGAAAGCCAGGGGAGCAAACGGG